RNAcentral lists this ribosomal RNA (114 nucleotides) under Echinostoma caproni. The record is from RNAcentral. Lineage: Eukaryota; Metazoa; Platyhelminthes; Trematoda; Plagiorchiida; Echinostomatidae.
GCUUAAGACCCUACCACGUCGGAAACACCGAUUCUCGUUUGAUCAUCGAAGUUGAAAAGCAUCGGUCCCUUUAGUACUUGCAUGGGUGAUUAGCUGGGAAUACCGGGUGAUGCG